This is a long non-coding RNA of Lagenorhynchus albirostris (white-beaked dolphin), 369 nucleotides long. RefSeq lists it as uncharacterized. The transcript is spliced from 3 exons. NCBI's taxonomy places the organism in Eukaryota, Metazoa, Chordata, Mammalia, Artiodactyla, Delphinidae. The record is from RefSeq and is a predicted model, not a curated record.
UGUAGAAAACUUCUCAGGAAAACAUCAAAGAGGAAUUCAUGAGUCCUUGAAAAGCUAAACUAUUUCAUGGAUCCUAGGAGGAUAAAUGGGAACUUUGACAAGAAUGGAGAAUGUGGUACUUCAAAGGUGACCUAGGAACCAUACCUUUGAAAUAUAAUCAUCAAGGAAGGUAGCACCCAUAUUUCCCAGUUUCUGUGAGAGCCCAACCAUGACCAAGUUGCAAAACUACCACCUGUCAUAGAGGUUGGGGAGCACCAAAUGAUGUCACUGAAUCCAAAUCAGAAUCAGCCCAACGAAUGGAGCCAGGACCUUCAGGCAGUCUCUCAGAAGAAGGUACCUUGUCCAAGACCUGGCUUGGAGAAGAAGAAC